Long non-coding RNA from Cavia porcellus (domestic guinea pig), 523 nucleotides. RefSeq lists it as uncharacterized. NCBI's taxonomy places the organism in Eukaryota, Metazoa, Chordata, Mammalia, Rodentia, Caviidae. The record is from RefSeq and is a predicted model, not a curated record. The transcript is spliced from 5 exons.
ACAGUGGUGACAUCUGUGUACACGAGGUCGCAAACAUCGUCCCAGACGCUUAUCGUGGCCAGUACACCCUGAAAAGUACACCAUUUUACAGUGGAGUACCGAGCUACACCAUGACAGUGGUCAUCACUAACUACUACAGCCACAGCGUUGUGUACUUCGAGGAGACUCGUGGAAACACGGUGCACUACAAGGCCUACCUCUAUGGGAGAACUAAGGAGCUGACCCUGCCAUUCAAGAAGUACUUCAUCAGGAUAGCCAAGGAUCUGGGUUUCACUGAAGACAUGAUCAGCUAUCCUACACCCAUUGACAAGUGCAUUGACGGCUGAACGGCUGAACGGACAGUGCCUCCUACCUCUUCACCCCCUGUUCUUCCUGUCACGCUGCUCCAGUGACAUCUGGCUGCCCCCCAGACACAUUCCCUGUGAGAGAGCUGAAAGCCCAUCUGACAGUGCAGCUCCCCACACCCAACAUCCCAAUUCAGCCCAACGAUGGAGGCCACUUUUCUGCUAAAUAAAGACAUGCA